This 1688-nucleotide ribosomal RNA is filed under the name Ameson iseebi. RNAcentral's name for it is "SSU rRNA". The stretch from base 1 to 1252 matches the Rfam family "Microsporidia small subunit ribosomal RNA". Lineage: Eukaryota; Fungi; Microsporidia; Pereziidae. The record is from RNAcentral.
CCAUGCAGUAGUAUGUAUGUAUACACAAGGCUCAGUAUCGAGUAUAGCUUUGCUCUCCAAGAUGUGAUACUUUCAGGAAACAGAAAAUAAAGCAUCUAUCUUCUAGAGUUUUUUAGAGGAGAGGAGAAGAAGCGACUCACCUAUCAGUUAGUAGGUAUGGUAAGGGCAUACCUAGACGAAGACGGGUACGGGGAAGGCAACUUCGAUUCCGGAGAGGGCGCAUUUAGAGAUGGCGACCAGUUCUAAGGAGUGCAGCAGGCUCGAAACUUACCGAAUUAUAGAUUAGAGGUAGUGAUGAAACGUUUAUAUAAAGAUACUGGUAAAGCAAGUAUUAGUAACUGGAGGGUAAGUCUGGUGCCAGCAGCCGCGGUAAUACCAGCUCCAGGAGCUUCUUCGAUAUGUUGCGGUUAAAACGUCCGUAGUCGCGGCUUGGGACUGACCUGUAAUCUAUUUGGUCAACAGAUAGAUAGGGGCAGUAGUAAGCUGGAAAAGAGCAAUUUGGUGUCAGCUAAUGGUAUGGGGAGGGGUGAAGUCUGAGGAUCCAUGCAGGAGGAGCAAAGGCGAAAGCACUGACAAAGAUUGAUUCUGUUGAUCAAGGACAGAGGCUAGAGGAUCGAAUACGAUUAGAUACCGUAGUAGUUCUAGCAGUGACCGAUGAUGAUUUUGCUUAUGGCAAUAGAGAAAUCAAAAUAGAUCUCCGGGGGGAGUACAUGCGCAAGCAAGAAACUUAAAGAAAUUGACGGAAGACUACCACAAGGUGUGGAUUGUUCGGCUUAAUUUGACUCAACGCGGGAAAACUUACCAAGCUUAUUUGUUCAACGAGUAUUUAUACGAGAGCAAAAUGGUGGUGCAUGGCCGUUCCUAACAGAUGGAGUGAUUUUGUGAUUAACUUCCGUAAUCUGUGUAAUCUCAGAAUAGCUUGUUCGAAAGAACAAUUCGAGGCAAGAACAGGUCAGUGAUGUCCUUUGAUAGCUUGGGCUGCACGCGCAAUACAAUGUUUUAUGUAAUAAGAUAUAGAUAAAAAAUAGAACAUGAGGGAUUGAGGGCUGAAAAGCACUCAUGAACACGGAAUAGCUAGUAAUCGUUUGUUCAAUAUACGGCGAUGAAUAUGUCCCUGUUCUUUGUACACACCGCCCGUCGUUAUCGAAGAUGGAGUGAUUUUUGAGUCAAUUAUAAUUGGCGAAUGAGUCAUUCUAAAUCCGGUACAAGUCGUAACAAGGCUACGGUUGAAGAAUCAGCAGUAGGAUUAGCGUGAUUGUUAUUGAAUAAUAAGGGUCUACAAGGGAUCAAUUGGUUCUUCGGUUGAGAAAGGAUGGAAGAGUAUCCAUAAUGGAUUUGAGUGCAAACUAUGAGAAUCCGUCUCUGACAAGUACUCCUUGAAUUGAAGCCUCUUAGUAAAGGAAGGAAAAGAAACUAACAAGGAUAUCCGCAGUAGUGGCGAACGAACUGGAUAGAGUCUGCUAUGUAAUCCGCAAGGAGAUGUUAAGGCUGCAUAGGAAGUCAGUUGGAAUGCUGCGAAAGAUAAGGUGAUAUCCCUUACAAGGCGAGAAAGGAAAGUAGCCAUACUUGGUAGUGGAUGGUGAAGACGGUGGUUUUUUCCAUCGAAGACUAAAUACAAGAAGAGACCGAUAGCGAAUAAGUAGAGUAAUCGAAAGUGUGAAAUUGUAGACUUACCCAUUAAUAUGGGC